GACGAACGCUGGCGGCGUGCUUAACACAUGCAAGUCGAACGGAAAGGCCCUGCUUUUGUGGGGUGCUCGAGUGGCGAACGGGUGAGUAACACGUGAGUAACCUGCCCUUGACUUUGGGAUAACUUCAGGAAACUGGGGCUAAUACCGGAUAGGAGCUCCUGCUGCAUGGUGGGGGUUGGAGAGUUUCGGCGGUUGGGGAUGGACUCGCGGCUUAUCAGCUUGUUGGUGGGGUAGUUGCUUACCAAGGCUUUGACGGGUAGCCGGCCUGAGAGGGUGACCGGCCACAUUGGGACUGAGGUACGGCCCAGACUCCUACGGGAGGCAGCAGUGGGGAAUAUUGCACAAUGGGCGGAAGCCUGAUGCAGCAACGCCGCGUGCGGGAUGACGGCCUUCGGGUUGUAAACCGCUUUCGCCUGUGACGAAGCGUGAGUGACGGUAAUGGGUAAAGAAGCACCGGCUAACUACGUG
RNAcentral lists this ribosomal RNA (468 nucleotides) under uncultured bacterium. RNAcentral's name for it is "partial 16S ribosomal RNA". It matches the Rfam family "Bacterial small subunit ribosomal RNA", at positions 28 to 507 of the family's 1533-position model. The record is from RNAcentral.